UGAGGUCGGAUGUUCAACUCAUCCUGGUCCCAAUGUAUUCCAUUUUUCCAAGUACUACGGUCUACUUUAAACUAUAAUGAAUAAUAACAAUAAACAUUUAGUCAAUUUCGAUGUUAGGGUAUAUUUACAAGGCAAUUUCAAUUUUAAAAAUUGAAAUUGCCGUUCUAUUAGACUUAAAAUACAUAUUUAGCAAUAUAAAAAACUUUCAACUCAAAAUCCAAAAUUAUGUUUACUAUUAACAACGUUUAAUUUAAUAUGAAACUGUAUAAUACCAAACACUUUCUAAGGAUUUAUUUUUUCUAAAGGUUAAACUAAAAAUUUACUUUGACUUCAAAAGCUUUUUCAUCAAAAUAAAAAUACAGAGGAAAGUAAAUAAAAUUAGUUUUGGUUUAUCUUCCUCUUGGAAAGGAGAUGGAUCUAGUCAUACUUCCCACAGUACGACCACCUUGUUACGACUU
Molecule: unclassified non-coding RNA, 458 nt
Filed under: Borreliella afzelii
Lineage: Bacteria; Pseudomonadati; Spirochaetota; Spirochaetia; Spirochaetales; Borreliaceae
Also listed under: 1 other name
Description: partial contains 16S ribosomal RNA and 16S-23S ribosomal RNA intergenic spacer
Source: RNAcentral